GUUUUUUUGAAAUUAAUUUAAAGUUUAACCUGCCCAUUGAAUAAAUUUAAAAGGCUGCGGUAUUUUGACCGUACAAAGGUAGCAUAAUCAUUAGUUUUUUAAUUGGAAACUAGAAUGAAUGGUUGAAUGAAAUAUUAGCUUUUUUAAUUAAAUAUAUAAAAUUUUACUUUUAAGUCAAAAGGCUGAAAUAAAUUUAAAAGACGAGAAGACCCUAUAGAGUUUUAUAAUAAUUUUUGUAUUUUAUAUAAAGUUGAUUAAUUGUUAUACAAUAUUUAUUAUUUUGUUGGGGUGAUAAUAAAAUUCAAAUAACUUUUAUUUUUUUUUUACAUUAAUAAAUGAAUAAUUGAUCCAUUUUUAAUGAUUAAAAAUUUAAAUUACCUUAGGGAUAACAGCGUAAUUUUUUUUUAAGUUCUUAUUAAUAAAAAAUUUUGCGACCUCGAUGUUGGAUUAAGAGUUAAUUUUAGGUGCAGCAGUUUAAAAUUUAAGUCUGUUCAACUUUUAAAUUCUU
RNAcentral lists this ribosomal RNA (508 nucleotides) under Corynoptera flavicauda. RNAcentral's name for it is "partial small subunit ribosomal RNA". Lineage: Eukaryota; Metazoa; Arthropoda; Insecta; Diptera; Sciaridae. The record is from RNAcentral.